UUUUAAUUGGUGCACUUUAGCAAAUGUUAAACUUAAAUGUUUAAUUAACCCCCCCGCCCCCAUCUUGUGUUUUUUUUCCUUAAAUCACUAAUCUUCCAUUGGUUAGUCCUGGCAUUUGGUAUUUACUCAGUAUUAAAUGUUUAAAGUUUUCCCUCUAUUUUUCCUUCCUUUCUGUUUUUUUGACUGGUGCUGCCUAAAGCCCAAGGCUUUUAAAACUUUUUGGUUUUAAGUCUUUGAGCUGUCUGAAAUGGUGGUUCUUGGUUUCUGUCUGUUGUUGAUAAGAGGAAGAAAGAGAGUGGUGGUCACAGAACCUAGUGCUUUGGUUCAGUUGUCCCUCUGGGAUAGUCAGACCUUAAGACAAUCAGUCCUUCUACUCUUUUUUUUUUCUCUCUCUUUUAUUUUAUAUAUUUUUUUCUUUUUAAAUAAAAUCUUUGGAAGACUUGAAUCAUAAAGAUCAAUAAAUCUUUAAUUACCUAAAAGAUUUAAUCCCCUUUGUUUUUACCUGAGAAACUCCUGGGUACUUCAAAUGGUCCAGGAUCAACGGUCUCCAUUAGUUGUUUCUGUUACCCCGUUUGUAGGCUCUCACCUUUCUUUCUAGUGUGUCCCUCUAGACCUCUGUAAGGUGUUAGGGGUGUAGAGCAACAGGUAUAAAGGACAGGGUUUGCAAAUCCCAGUGGACCAUUGCUAGUGAGGUGCUAUCGUCUCCCUUGUAAAGGGGGUGCCUCGUCAGGCUGGGAGGUAUAGUCACCUUCAUAGAAUAUUCCAUCCCCAGUGCAAUGGGCAGUUAGAAUGCCAGUCUCCCUCUAGCACUCUGCUGGCUCUCAUAUUUACCCACUGCCUACCUUCCCCUUCUGCUUCUCAGUGACAAGUCAAUCAACCAAAUAAGGCCUUCAGAAUAUAGUUGGUUUCACUCUGACCACUACUAGGAGUGGCUGUUGACUGUGGUUGCCCCUCUUGUCCUAUUAUGGCUAGCAGUUGUUCCCAAAGGUCCCUUAGACUGUCUGACUCCUUCCAAAUUAGGGAGGGGAGUUUUGGCAUUAUUCAGUAGAGAAAAACAGCAAUACACAGCAGUGCAGGC
Molecule: long non-coding RNA, 1078 nt
Filed under: Marmota monax (woodchuck)
Lineage: Eukaryota; Metazoa; Chordata; Mammalia; Rodentia; Sciuridae
Source: RNAcentral